This 499-nucleotide ribosomal RNA is filed under the name uncultured Glomeromycotina. RNAcentral describes it as "partial small subunit ribosomal RNA". It matches the Rfam family "Eukaryotic small subunit ribosomal RNA", at positions 591 to 1092 of the family's 1831-position model. Lineage: Eukaryota; Fungi; Glomeromycota. The record is from RNAcentral.
CCAAUAGCGUAUAUUAAAGUUGUUGCAGUUAAAAAGCUCGUAGUUGAAUUUCGGGAUCAAUCUAUCGGUCGUGCAAUAGUACGUACUGAUUUUAUUGAUUCCUCCCUUCUGAUGAACUAUGAUGUCAUUAAUUUGGUGUCAUAGGGAAUCAGGACUGUUACUUUGAAAAAAUUAGAGUGUUUAAAGCAGGCUCACGCUUGAAUACAUUAGCAUGGAAUAACGGAAUAGGACGUUUGAUUCUAUUUUGUUGGUUUCUAGGAUCGACGUAAUGAUUAAUAGGGAUAGUUGUGGGCAUUAGUAUUCAAUUGUCAGAGGUGAAAUUCUUGGAUUUAUUGAAGACUAACUACUGCGAAAGCAUUUGCCAAGGAUGUUUUCAUUAAUCAAGAACGAAAGUUAGGGGAUCGAAGAAGAUCAGAUACCGUCGUAGUCUUAACCAUAAACUAUGCCGACUAGGGAUCGGAUGAUGUUAAUUUUUUAAUGACUCAUUCGGCGCCUUACG